AACGCACAUUGCGGCCACGGGUAUUCCCGUGGCCAUGCCUGUUCGAGCGUCAUUUACACCCUCAAGCCUCGCUUGGUGUUGGGCGUCUGUCCCCCCGCGACACCUCUCGCCGCGGGGACUCGCCUCAAAGUCAUCCCGACGCGCGGUUAGGACGGCACUUUCGCAGCACAUUUGCGCAGAGAAAGCCGGCCAAACCGGGCACGGGGCAACAAACCUUUCACGACUUGACCUCGGAUCAGGUAGGGAUACCCGCUGAACUUAA
This 262-nucleotide unclassified non-coding RNA is filed under the name uncultured Pleosporales. Its description in RNAcentral is "sequence contains ITS2". The stretch from base 1 to 52 matches the Rfam family "5.8S ribosomal RNA", at positions 103 to 154 of the family's 154-position model. The record is from RNAcentral. Lineage: Eukaryota; Fungi; Ascomycota; Dothideomycetes; Pleosporales.